GGGUUGUGAGGUUAAGCGACUAAGCGUACACGGUGGAUGCCCUGGCAGUCAGAGGCGAUGAAGGACGUGCUAAUCUGCGAUAAGCGUCGGUAAGGUGAUAUGAACCGUUAUAACCGGCGAUUUCCGAAUGGGGAAACCCAGUGUGAUUCGUCACACUAUCAUUAACUGAAUCCAUAGGUUAAUGAGGCGAACCGGGGGAACUGAAACAUCUAAGUACCCCGAGGAAAAGAAAUCAACCGAGAUUCCCCCAGUAGCGGCGAGCGAACGGGGAGGAGCCCAGAGCCUGAAUCAGUGUGUGUGUUAGUGGAAGCGUCUGGAAAGGCGCGCGAUACAGGGUGACAGCCCCGUACACAAAAAUGCACAUACUGUGAGCUCGAUGAGUAGGGCGGGACACGUGGUAUCCUGUCUGAAUAUGGGGGGACCAUCCUCCAAGGCUAAAUACUCCUGACUGACCGAUAGUGAACCAGUACCGUGAGGGAAAGGCGAAAAGAACCCCGGCGAGGGGAGUGAAAAAGAACCUGAAACCGUGUACGUACAAGCAGUGGGAGCCUCUUUAUGGGGUGACUGCGUACCUUUUGUAUAAUGGGUCAGCGACUUAUAUUCUGUAGCAAGGUUAACCGAAUAGGGGAGCCGAAGGGAAACCGAGUCUUAACUGGGCGUUAAGUUGCAGGGUAUAGACCCGAAACCCGGUGAUCUAGCCAUGGGCAGGUUGAAGGUUGGGUAACACUAACUGGAGGACCGAACCGACUAAUGUUGAAAAAUUAGCGGAUGACUUGUGGCUGGGGGUGAAAGGCCAAUCAAACCGGGAGAUAGCUGGUUCUCCCCGAAAGCUAUUUAGGUAGCGCCUCGUGAAUUCAUCUCCGGGGGUAGAGCACUGUUUCGGCAAGGGGGUCAUCCCGACUUACCAACCCGAUGCAAACUGCGAAUACCGGAGAAUGUUAUCACGGGAGACACACGGCGGGUGCUAACGUCCGUCGUGAAGAGGGAAACAACCCAGACCGCCAGCUAAGGUCCCAAAGUCAUGGUUAAGUGGGAAACGAUGUGGGAAGGCCCAGACAGCCAGGAUGUUGGCUUAGAAGCAGCCAUCAUUUAAAGAAAGCGUAAUAGCUCACUGGUCGAGUCGGCCUGCGCGGAAGAUGUAACGGGGCUAAACCAUGCACCGAAGCUGCGGCAGCGACACUUAUGUGUUGUUGGGUAGGGGAGCGUUCUGUAAGCCUGCGAAGGUGUACUGUGAGGUAUGCUGGAGGUAUCAGAAGUGCGAAUGCUGACAUAAGUAACGAUAAAGCGGGUGAAAAGCCCGCUCGCCGGAAGACCAAGGGUUCCUGUCCAACGUUAAUCGGGGCAGGGUGAGUCGACCCCUAAGGCGAGGCCGAAAGGCGUAGUCGAUGGGAAACAGGUUAAUAUUCCUGUACUUGGUGUUACUGCGAAGGGGGGACGGAGAAGGCUAUGUUGGCCGGGCGACGGUUGUCCCGGUUUAAGCGUGUAGGCUGGUUUUCCAGGCAAAUCCGGAAAAUCAAGGCUGAGGCGUGAUGACGAGGCACUACGGUGCUGAAGCAACAAAUGCCCUGCUUCCAGGAAAAGCCUCUAAGCAUCAGGUAACAUCAAAUCGUACCCCAAACCGACACAGGUGGUCAGGUAGAGAAUACCAAGGCGCUUGAGAGAACUCGGGUGAAGGAACUAGGCAAAAUGGUGCCGUAACUUCGGGAGAAGGCACGCUGAUACGUAGGUGAAGUCCCUUGCGGAUGGAGCUGAAAUCAGUCGAAGAUACCAGCUGGCUGCAACUGUUUAUUAAAAACACAGCACUGUGCAAACACGAAAGUGGACGUAUACGGUGUGACGCCUGCCCGGUGCCGGAAGGUUAAUUGAUGGGGUUAGCGGUAACGCGAAGCUCUUGAUCGAAGCCCCGGUAAACGGCGGCCGUAACUAUAACGGUCCUAAGGUAGCGAAAUUCCUUGUCGGGUAAGUUCCGACCUGCACGAAUGGCGUAAUGAUGGCCAGGCUGUCUCCACCCGAGACUCAGUGAAAUUGAACUCGCUGUGAAGAUGCAGUGUACCCGCGGCAAGACGGAAAGACCCCGUGAACCUUUACUAUAGCUUGACACUGAACAUUGAGCCUUGAUGUGUAGGAUAGGUGGGAGGCUUUGAAGUGUGGACGCCAGUCUGCAUGGAGCCGACCUUGAAAUACCACCCUUUAAUGUUUGAUGUUCUAACGUUGGCCCCUAAUCGGGGUUGCGGACAGUGUCUGGUGGGUAGUUUGACUGGGGCGGUCUCCUCCUAAAGAGUAACGGAGGAGCACGAAGGUUGGCUAAUCCUGGUCGGACAUCAGGAGGUUAGUGCAAUGGCAUAAGCCAGCUUGACUGCGAGCGUGACGGCGCGAGCAGGUGCGAAAGCAGGUCAUAGUGAUCCGGUGGUUCUGAAUGGAAGGGCCAUCGCUCAACGGAUAAAAGGUACUCCGGGGAUAACAGGCUGAUACCGCCCAAGAGUUCAUAUCGACGGCGGUGUUUGGCACCUCGAUGUCGGCUCAUCACAUCCUGGGGCUGAAGUAGGUCCCAAGGGUAUGGCUGUUCGCCAUUUAAAGUGGUACGCGAGCUGGGUUUAGAACGUCGUGAGACAGUUCGGUCCCUAUCUGCCGUGGGCGCUGGAGAACUGAGGGGGGCUGCUCCUAGUACGAGAGGACCGGAGUGGACGCAUCACUGGUGUUCGGGUUGUCAUGCCAAUGGCACUGCCCGGUAGCUAAAUGCGGAAGAGAUAAGUGCUGAAAGCAUCUAAGCACGAAACUUGCCCCGAGAUGAGUUCUCCCUGACUCCCUGAGAGUCCUGAAGGAACGUUGAAGACGACGACGUUGAUAGGCCGGGUGUGUAAGCGCAGCGAUGCGUUGAGCUAACCGGUACUAAUGAACCGUGAGGCUUAACCUUACAACGCCGAAG
RNAcentral lists this ribosomal RNA (2926 nucleotides) under Bacteroides xylanisolvens. Its description in RNAcentral is "23S ribosomal RNA". It matches the Rfam family "Bacterial large subunit ribosomal RNA". Lineage: Bacteria; Pseudomonadati; Bacteroidota; Bacteroidia; Bacteroidales; Bacteroidaceae. The record is from RNAcentral.